This 427-nucleotide ribosomal RNA is filed under the name uncultured bacterium. Its description in RNAcentral is "partial 16S ribosomal RNA". It matches the Rfam family "Bacterial small subunit ribosomal RNA", at positions 355 to 774 of the family's 1533-position model. The record is from RNAcentral.
UAGGGAAUCUUCCGCAAUGGGCGAAAGCCUGACGGAGCAACGCCGCGUGAGUGAUGAAGGUCUUCGGAUCGUAAAACUCUGUUAUUAGGGAAGAACAUAUGUGUAAUUAACUGUGCACAUCUUGACGGUACCUAAUCAGAAAGCCACGGCUAACUACGUGCCAGCAGCCGCGGUAAUACGUAGGUGGCAAGCGUUAUCCGGAAUUAUUGGGCGUAAAGCGCGCGUAGGCGGUUUUUUAAGUCUGAUGUGAAAGCCCACGGCUCAACCGUGGAGGGUCAUUGGAAACUGGAAAACUUGAGUGCAGAAGAGGAAAGUGGAAUUCCAUGUGUAGCGGUGAAAUGCGCAGAGAUAUGGAGGAACACCAGUGGCGAAGGCGACUUUCUGGUCUGUAACUGACGCUGAUGUGCGAAAGCGUGGGGAUCAAACA